AUGAAUGAAGGAUGUUGGGUUGCGUACGGCGUAGAGGAUGGUGAGGAUCUGGAACUUGGAGGUGACGAGCCAGGCGGCGAGGCCGAGGUUGCGGUGGGCGCAGAGCCCCACGGCGGCGACCUGGAGGAAGCUGAAGGUGGACAUGAAGGCGUUGCAGGAGUAGACGUAGGGGUACUUCCUCGCCAGCCGGCCGUGCAGCAGGAACCAGCAGGACAGGCACACGCAGUUGCCCAGGAUCGCCACCGUGCCCAGCGUCCACCUCCUGCCGGCGCCGGGGUCGCCCGCGCCCGCCGGCGACGGCGCGGACCCGUAGUGCGGCUGGCCGGCGCUAUGGUGGUGGGCGUGGGUGAGGGGCACGCCGCGGUAGAAGGUGAGCACCAUGGCGCCCGCCAGCGACACCAGCGUGCCGGCGAGCUUGGCGCCCCCCGUGGCGGUCCCAAGCUUCAGCGACUCGGACCGCGUGGCGGCGGCGAGCAGGAAGGUGAGCACGGGGGCCACGUUGGAGAAGGCCGUGACGAAGGUGGCCGUGGUGUAGCGCAGCGCCACGAAGAUCAUGUACUGCCGCAGCGCCGCCCCCAGCGCCGCGCUGGCGAAGAGGUAGGCGAAGAUCUCCAGCGUCAUCCUCGGCCGCGCCUUGCCCUCCCGGAGGUACGCGAUGGGGCCGAGGAAGACGGCGGCCGUGAGCUGCUGCAGCGUGACGAGCACCAGCGGGUCGAGGCCGCCGUUCAUGGCCACCUUGACGAGCGACACCAUCACCGCCGCGAUCGCGUUGAGGAACACCAUCACCACCACCGGCCACGCCCCGCCGCCGCCGCUCCCUCCUCCCAUCGCUCUGCCUGCCACCACCACGCACACCAACUGGCAGAGGCGGGCGAUCGAGCCGGUGGACGGGAAGGUAUGCGGCGAGGGAGCGUGCGUGCGUGCGGGUAG
Molecule: ribosomal RNA, 930 nt
Filed under: Triticum aestivum (bread wheat)
Lineage: Eukaryota; Viridiplantae; Streptophyta; Magnoliopsida; Poales; Poaceae
Description: partial small subunit ribosomal RNA
Source: RNAcentral